RNAcentral lists this ribosomal RNA (1095 nucleotides) under Triticum aestivum (bread wheat). RNAcentral's name for it is "partial small subunit ribosomal RNA". The record is from RNAcentral. Lineage: Eukaryota; Viridiplantae; Streptophyta; Magnoliopsida; Poales; Poaceae.
AUGGCAGAACAUUGCAAGCUUGCCGCUGCCAUGGUACUAGCUGAAUCUGAGGAAAGGUCAUAUGUGGUAAAGGUAGAUGGAUACUCAAGAAUAAAGGGGCUACUGAAGAACGGGGAGUUCGCCAUUUCUACCCCUUUCAGUGUUGGAGGCCACAACUGGAGCGUGGAAUAUUACCCCAACGGUUACCCCGAGGAUUGUUCUGAUUUCAUAUCUCUUUAUCUAUUUCAUGAAGCUGCCGAUGCCGGAGAUGUGAAGGCCAAAUUCACGGUCAGUGUACUUGACAAGAAUGGAGAACCGGUGCCUUCAUACAGCCGUACCUCCGACCCUGUAACCUUCUCAAAGGAGGUUUCGUAUUGUGGUUACGAUGACUUCAUCAAGAAGGCUGAUUUGGAGGCAUCAGCGCAUCUGAGAGACCAUUGUUUCACCAUCAGGUUCGAUGUCACCGUCAUCAAGGACAUCCACGGUGAAGAAAAAUCGGUUCCUCCAAGCGACCUGCAUCGGCAUUUCGGCGACAUGCUCAAGAACAAGGAUGCAGCCGACCUCACCUUUAAGGUUGGGGGACAGGAAUUCUCUGCUCACAGAUGUGUCCUUGCUGCUCGCUCACCCGUCUUCAAGGCAUUGCUCCUCGGCGCCAUGGAGGAGAGCUCCAGUAGUACUAUCGAAAUUCAUGACAUGGAACCUGAUGUAUUCGAGUCCUUGCUCCAUUUUAUAUACACCGACUCCGCUCCUGUGCUUCAGAUGGCCAGGGAAAAAAGUGAACCAUGUGUAGAUGUGGUGAUGGCCGGCCAUCUACUUGUGGCGGCUGACAGGUACAAUAUUGCGAGGCUGAGGGUGAUACUUGAGGAGAAACUGUGCAGUCACAUUGAUUCCAACAUGGUGGCAACCAGCUUGGCUUUAGCUGAGCAGCAUGGUUUCCAUCGUCUCAAAGAAGCUUGUUUCCAGUUCCUCUCUUCUCCGCCCAAUUUGGAGGCAAUGAUGGCAAGUGAUGGGUAUGAGCACCUGAAAUCCAGCUGUCCAUCUGUUCUCAAGGAGCUGAUAGCUAGAAUCAUCCCAGCUGAAUGGAAAGCGGCAAAGGAUAUUAUCAUGGCAAUUUAG